UACGGAGGGGGCUAGCGUUAUUCGGAAUUAUUGGGCGUAAAGGGCGCGUAGGCGGCCAUGCGUGUCUUCCGUGAAAUCCCUCGGCUUAACUGAGGACGUGCGGAAGAAACUGCAAGGCUCGAGUCCGGGAGAGGGGGGUGGAAUUCCCAGUGUAGCGGUGAAAUGCGUAGAUAUUGGGAGGAACACCGGUGGCGAAGGCGGCUCUCUGGACCACAACUGACGCUGAUGCGCGAAAGCUAGGGGAGCAAACAGG
Molecule: ribosomal RNA, 253 nt
Filed under: uncultured bacterium
Lineage: Bacteria
Description: partial 16S ribosomal RNA
Rfam family: Bacterial small subunit ribosomal RNA
Source: RNAcentral